This 268-nucleotide ribosomal RNA is filed under the name uncultured bacterium. RNAcentral's name for it is "partial 16S ribosomal RNA". It matches the Rfam family "Bacterial small subunit ribosomal RNA", at positions 793 to 1055 of the family's 1533-position model. The record is from RNAcentral.
GUCCACGCCGUAAACGAUGAGUGCUUGAUGUUGGGGGCCGUAGCCCUCCAGUGUCGUAGCUAACGUGAUAAGCACUCCGCCUGGGGAGUACGGCCGCAAUGUUAAAACUACAAAGGAAUUGACGGGGCCCGGCACAAGCGGUGGAGCAUGUGGUUCAAUUCGACGCAACGCGAAGAACCUUACCAGCUCUUGACAUUAGACGUAUGGGGCCGAGAGAUCGGCUCCUUCAGUUCGGCUGGCGUCCAAACAGGUGCUGCAUGGCUGUCGU